UUAAGAAGAAAUCAAGGUAUCUGUCCGUGGUUUUGAGAUUGAGGGUUUGUGUUUGUGCUUUGAGUACUCUCGGACCCACGACGCAGGAUUUAUUUUCGGAGCUUUCGAUUGAAUAACUUGAAUUCAGACGUGCACACUAUGUAAACCAAAUGUACAUUCGUAGGUAUAACUAGUUAUAAAUUUUUCUCAACGACCAAAUUUUUUCAAAUACAAAAAGUUUUGGUGAAUUUUUAAUUCUAGGAAUAAGGAAAGAGCUCUACAAGUUUUUAAUUUUUUGAAUAAAAGAAAUUAUAUGUA
Melitaea cinxia (Glanville fritillary) is the source of this 297-nucleotide long non-coding RNA. RefSeq lists it as uncharacterized. The transcript is spliced from 2 exons. NCBI's taxonomy places the organism in Eukaryota, Metazoa, Arthropoda, Insecta, Lepidoptera, Nymphalidae. The record is from RefSeq and is a predicted model, not a curated record.